UUACACUCGGGGACACGGCAUACUCAGCGAAAGCCAAGCGCCUUGGCCGCCGCGGCCGCCCAUCCCUUCUGCUCCUCUGGGGCCGCGUCUUCGGCAGACAGGUCCACUACGUCCAGUGUUUGCAUUACUCUGCAAAUUAGGAAGGAGCCGUCUUCAGGUCCCAGACAUUACGCUGCGGUGCUUCGAGGCCAAAGUCCCACCGAUCCUGUCGUGCGGUGCAGAUGUGGGGUCCAGACGCUAUCUGGGAGGUACUUGGGACAACGGGCAUACGGCGGGCGACGGAAUGGCAGAGAUGGGGGCAGCGAAGAGGGUCAGGGCAGAGAGAGUGCGGCGCUCCUGACAAGAUGUGGGAAAAGGGUUAAAAGUUCGCGAAGGACCGCGGGGGUCUUUGAGAGAUCCAUGGUGGAUCCCAUGGUACAUUGCAGAAACUUUUCUUAAGGGGCAUUUUUGGUGCAAAGCUCCCUACCUCCCAAUAGGCAACUUUUCGCGGAAACGUCGCAGCUACCGCUGCACUACUUUUCGGCACAACGGCUUUGGAACCGUGACAGUAAGCAGUCCGCAACACUUGCGCGGGCCGUGUUGGAGGGGCAGAUCGAGGUAUGGCUUGGAGACCAUGGGAUCUCAUGGGAAGACCACAUGAGCACUUCCGUUAUCUUGGCUUUGGUUACGGCCGCACUUACGCGAUGGACACAGCAACGCAGAGAAGGCACGGAUGAUUGUGGGACUGGGGCUCCCAGUCGAUGCGCUGCUGAAGGAGUUUCGAAGGCGGUUGUUGGCGCUGAUAGGAACAGCCUGAGAUCGCCGUGGACCCCAGGGGCUUCCAUGAGUAGCCGCAAUCGUGGGAAUGCAGUUGCGGUUUGUCCGUGUGGAAUGCGCAUGACCAAAGGAGAUUGUCAACGCCAUUUUUGGGACUGUACCGUGGCGGUAGCCCUGAAAGUCAGUUUUGCGUGUUGAUUAUGCAGACGCGACCUCUGGUUGGCAUCCGCCUUUCUAUUCAUAUCCAAGUGUGGGAUAUAGCCUGCGAAAGUUCAUGGGACUUUGGUCGUAUAAGGCUGUAUCAAGAGGGUGUGGUUUCUUACCCUAGCUCGACUGCCAUUAAAAGGACUGCGACCGCUGUGGUCUCGGAUUUCUGGGCACGUCUUACUGGGUUGGCGGCAAGAAGACUUGCUUCCAAAGACUGGCAAUCUACAUCAUCUGACCAUCCGUUCCUUGCUCUAGACCAAUGUGACAAACUUAUUUUUCAUGGACCCGACAAUAUCUAACGUGUAUCUAUAUGUCCUUUUCUGACAUCAUUUGGUUGCUAGCUGUGG
Molecule: long non-coding RNA, 1310 nt
Filed under: Volvox carteri
Lineage: Eukaryota; Viridiplantae; Chlorophyta; Chlorophyceae; Chlamydomonadales; Volvocaceae
Description: long non-coding RNA (VCAR_LNC000553)
Source: RNAcentral